Long non-coding RNA from Cephus cinctus (wheat stem sawfly), 347 nucleotides. RefSeq lists it as uncharacterized. The transcript has 3 exons. The record is from RefSeq and is a predicted model, not a curated record. NCBI's taxonomy places the organism in Eukaryota, Metazoa, Arthropoda, Insecta, Hymenoptera, Cephidae.
AAUAAACAUCCUUGAUGUCUUUUCAUUUUUCUUGUGGUCAUAACUAUGGAAACACACCUGUCGCCAUAUAUGCCUGUUGCUAACCCCAGUAAACUUAUCUCUUCGUUGAAGAAGUCGAAUAAGUAUUUUUAUACUUGUAAUUCUUCCAAAAUAAACAGGUUUCAAUUCUAACCCAACUAUGAUCUCAUAUUCUGUGGAUACUUCUUUUGUGCAUCUCGUCGUCAAAACGUGCGUUUCCAAUUGAAGAAGGAGAAUUUACGCGAGACGAAAGCCUUCGUCACGUUUGCAUGCAAGUCUAUCGUCGUUAAGAACAAGUAACGAAGUCGCAAACCGGCGCCAUAAAUAGU